RNAcentral lists this ribosomal RNA (404 nucleotides) under uncultured Oscillospiraceae bacterium. RNAcentral describes it as "bacterial SSU rRNA". It matches the Rfam family "Bacterial small subunit ribosomal RNA", at positions 356 to 774 of the family's 1533-position model. Lineage: Bacteria; Bacillati; Bacillota; Clostridia; Eubacteriales; Oscillospiraceae. The record is from RNAcentral.
GGGGAAUAUUGGGCAAUGGGCGAAAGCCUGACCCAGCAACGCCGCGUGAAGGAAGAAGGCCCUCGGGUUGUAAACUUCUUUUAUCAGGGACGAAACAAAUGACGGUACCUGAUGAAUAAGCCACGGCUAACUACGUGCCAGCAGCCGCGGUAAUACGUAGGUGGCAAGCGUUAUCCGGAUUUACUGGGUGUAAAGGGCGUGUAGGCGGGACUGCAAGUCAGAUGUGAAAACUAUGGGCUCAACCCAUAGCCUGCAUUUGAAACUGUGGUUCUUGAGUGAUGGAGAGGCAGGCGGAAUUCCUAGUGUAGCGGUGAAAUGCGUAGAUAUUAGGAGGAACACCAGUGGCGAAGGCGGCUUGCUGGGCUUUUACUGACGCUGAGGCUCGAAAGCGUGGGGAGCAAACA